This 30-nucleotide non-coding RNA is filed under the name Rattus norvegicus (Norway rat). Lineage: Eukaryota; Metazoa; Chordata; Mammalia; Rodentia; Muridae. The record is from RNAcentral.
UACCAGGGGCCUGGUACAGUAAGGACCGUA